Molecule: RNA transcript, 718 nt
Organism: Fragaria vesca subsp. vesca
Lineage: Eukaryota; Viridiplantae; Streptophyta; Magnoliopsida; Rosales; Rosaceae
Exons: 4
Source: RefSeq, a predicted model, not a curated record
UUUUGUCAGGACCGUCUCUCUUUUUUCUCUCCUUCUCUCGACUCUUCCUGAAACCCAGAGAAACGACGUCGACCUCCGACGCCGUCCUCGCCAUUUGGCAACCAAUCAAGCCGUCUUGACUUUGCCGAGGUCCCUCUGGCCUUAGUUUUUCUAAUCGGCGGCUAUGGGAAGAGAAACGGAGACGAGAAGCUUCUGCUCCUCCGUCGAUUUCGGUGUUUUCUGGCGACUUCUCCUGAGAUGUUGGACCAUGGGUUGGAAUUGACUUCAUUGCUGCUGAAACCUUGAUGUAUUCUUAUACACACAGUCCAUCAAGAAAAGAAUUGGACAAAGAGAGAAGGAAGGAGGAAUCGAUCCUAGCAGCUGAGAUCUUUGUUGGUGCAGCUGUGUUCUUAAUUGGGAGCAGGCCUGCAUAUUAAGGGCUUUGCAUGUAUCAGUUUAGUUGAUCCCCAGGGACUCUAAUUACCUGAGGAGCGAAAGGCUCGUGGUUUUGGGAGUUUGUAAGGAAAGCCUCGGAUUCCAGGUACUGUGCACUAGGACGGGAUAGUGGCGAGGAGUUGGGUGUGUAUAUUUAUGAUUGGUAACUUGGUUUCUAUGUUGUCCUCUUUAUUUUUAGAAUUAAAUUCAGUUUACCCCCAUGAGGUUUGGGAAUAACUUCAUGUUAAUCCCUAUACUUUCAAUUUCAUCAGUUUACCCCUUAAACUUUUAAAUUUUCCUCAAG